CCUACGGGAGGCAGCAGUGAGGAAUAUUGGACAAUGGGCGCAAGCCUGAUCCAGCCAUGCCGCGUGCAGGAUGACGGUCGUAUGGAUUGUAAACUGCUUUUGUACAGGAAGAAACAGUGGUUCGUGAACCAGCUUGACGGUACUGUAAGAAUAAGGAUCGGCUAACUCCGUGCCAGCAGCCGCGGUAAUACGGAGGAUCCAAGCGUUAUCCGGAAUCAAUGGGUUUAAAGGGUCCGUAGGCGGUCAGAUAAGUCAGUGGUGAAAGCCCAUCGCUCAACGGUGGAACGGCCAUUGAUACUGUCUGACUUGAAUUAUUAGGAAGUAUCUAGAAUAUGUAGUGUAGCGGUGAAAUGCUUAGAGAUUACAUGGAAUACCAAUUGCGAAGGCAGGUUACUACUAAUGGAUUGACGCUGAUGGACGAAAGCGUGGGUAGCGAACAGGAUUAGAUACCCUGGUAGUCCACGCCGUAAACGAUGGAUAGUAGCUGUUGGGAGCAAUCUCAGUGGCUAAGCGAAAGUGAUAAGUAUCCCACCUGGGGAGUACGUUCGCAAGAAUGAAACUCAAAGGAAUUGACGG
This 576-nucleotide ribosomal RNA is filed under the name uncultured bacterium. RNAcentral's name for it is "bacterial SSU rRNA". It matches the Rfam family "Bacterial small subunit ribosomal RNA", at positions 338 to 916 of the family's 1533-position model. The record is from RNAcentral.